AGCUGCGGCUUUAACUGCUUGUCCACCAAGCAAUUUUAGGGCUUCUAGGCAUGCAUUGCGCUGCAAUCUACUACUGUCGACUUCUGAUCUUGAGAGGUUGGAACUGCCUAUGCGAUUCCAGCUAUUUUGCGAAACUCAUGGCCAUAAAUACUUUAGAUUGGUGUCGAGAGGAAGAAGUUGGUUUGUGCGGUAUGUUGCUGGGCACUUUGUUGGUUCUGGUUGGAAAUUAUUCAUUGACGAACACAAGCUUGAGAGCUCUGACAUGUUGGUGCUGAGUCCUGAUAUCAACCUCCAAUUGUAUACCAUGGUUUUCAGUGUGAAUGGUUGCGAGCGUAUCUAUUGGUGGUACUAAUGCUAAUUUCCCCCUCUUUUGACUGCUGACUUGUAUUUAGAUUUGGACUGGCCAGUUCAGUGGAAUUCUAGGAUUAACUAUGUAGGAAAGAUGAGCCUAUAUGUUGUUCAUUUGUAAGUACAAGUUUCAACUAGAAAGGUCCAGUACUCUGGUUUACCUUCAUUUUGUAGAGUUCCUUACAAUGACAAUGGCUCACAGCUUUUUGAAAAAGCCAUUUUUGUAUUGCCAAAUCUGAUUGUAAAGUGUGCCAAGAACACACUGACUUUGUAAAUGGCAAUGAAGUUGCAGCUUGUUGUGUUUAA
Molecule: long non-coding RNA, 654 nt
Organism: Rhododendron vialii
Lineage: Eukaryota; Viridiplantae; Streptophyta; Magnoliopsida; Ericales; Ericaceae
Exons: 2
Source: RefSeq, a predicted model, not a curated record